Molecule: ribosomal RNA, 465 nt
Filed under: Vreelandella stevensii
Lineage: Bacteria; Pseudomonadati; Pseudomonadota; Gammaproteobacteria; Oceanospirillales; Halomonadaceae
Description: partial 16S ribosomal RNA
Rfam family: Bacterial small subunit ribosomal RNA
Source: RNAcentral
CCUACGGGUGGCUGCAGUGGGGAAUAUUGGACAAUGGGCGAAAGCCUGAUCCAGCCAUGCCGCGUGUGUGAAGAAGGCCUUCGGGUUGUAAAGCACUUUCAGUGGGGAAGAAAGCCUUGGGGCUAAUACCCUCGAGGAAGGACAUCACCCACAGAAGAAGCACCGGCUAACUCCGUGCCAGCAGCCGCGGUAAUACGGAGGGUGCGAGCGUUAAUCGGAAUUACUGGGCGUAAAGCGCGCGUAGGCGGUCUGAUAAGCCGGGUGUGAAAGCCCCGGGCUCAACCUGGGAACGGCAUCCGGAACUGUCAGGCUAGAGUGCAGGAGAGGAAGGUAGAAUUCCCGGUGUAGCGGUGAAAUGCGUAGAGAUCGGGAGGAAUACCAGUGGCGAAGGCGGCCUUCUGGACUGACACUGACGCUGAGGUGCGAAAGCGUGGGUAGCAAACAGGAUUAGAUACCCCAGUAGUC